Non-coding RNA from Pteronotus mesoamericanus, 128 nucleotides. RefSeq annotates it as small Cajal body-specific RNA 11. The record is from RefSeq and is a predicted model, not a curated record. Lineage: Eukaryota; Metazoa; Chordata; Mammalia; Chiroptera; Mormoopidae. The transcript has a single exon.
AGAUUUUUGCCCCAGAGGUUACAAAGGUUCAGUUAUAAAAGUUAGGCUCUUUAGGGAAGUCCAAGAGAAUCUCCCUCUGUAGGAGGUCCUGAGUAUAGGGCUGGCUCUUAAAGGCACGAGAGGACAAU